Molecule: small RNA, 244 nt
Filed under: Nannospalax galili (Upper Galilee mountains blind mole rat)
Lineage: Eukaryota; Metazoa; Chordata; Mammalia; Rodentia; Spalacidae
Description: 7SK RNA (ENSNGAG00000007897.1)
Rfam family: 7SK RNA (bases 1-179)
About the family: 7SK was discovered as an abundant small nuclear RNA in the mid-70s but a possible function has only recently been suggested.
Source: RNAcentral
GGGUAUAAGGGCAGUCUGGAUACAACAUCUGAUCACCAGGGUUGAUUUGACUGAUCUGGCUGCCUGGGCAGUUUUCCUCUUCCUUGCUCUUUGCUCUAUGUGGAUCCUUCCUGAAGCUGUACCCUCACUUGAAGGGGGAUGAACUUCCUGGACAGAAGAGGACCAUUUAUUGGUUUAGAAAAGAGCUCAUUAAACUGCAGGCAAUACUCUUAUAUGGACUCACAUAACUGAAUAUGGAAGUUAU